Molecule: ribosomal RNA, 23 nt
Filed under: Thermomyces lanuginosus
Lineage: Eukaryota; Fungi; Ascomycota; Eurotiomycetes; Eurotiales; Trichocomaceae
Also listed under: 1 other name
Description: partial ribosomal RNA
Source: RNAcentral
UUGACCUCGGAUCAGGUAGGAGU